AUGGCCGCCCUCAAGUCCCCCAACUCGGGAUCGACUUCCGCUCCUCUCGGUGACGUCACCCGGAAGCAAGAUGGCGGCAUCCUGAGCACCGCGGAGGCGCCCUCACCAAUAUGGCCGCCCGCUAAACAACGCCCCUCCAGGCCGUCGAGGCUUCCGAAGUUGAACCGGAAGAGAUCGCUUCUCCCUAACCCGGAAGUUGUUGCGCCUCGCCAAAGCCUGCCCAGGGCCUCCGCCGCCAAGGAAAUCCUGGAGCCAGUCACCCCGGGAAUGGGGAGCAGCGUGGUUUGGGAAUCAGAAGGACCUGGGUUCUGAUUCCGAAUGUCACUUGCCUGCUGUGUGACUUCACUUCUCUAGGCCUCAGUUUCCUCAUCUGAAAAAUGGAGAUGAAGACUGUGAGUCCCCAAGUUGGACAUGGGCCAUGUCCAACCUGAUUCCCUUGUUGUACCCUAGUGCCUAGAACAAGGCCUAGCACAUAGUAAGCGCUUACCAAACACCAUAAAAAACAACAACACUGUUCUAAGAGUACAGUAGAGUAGGUGGGCAUGGUCCCUACCCUCAAGGAGCUUGCUAUCUUGUGGGAGAGGAGGUGCUGAAAUAAAUUACAGACAGGAGGAAUCAAUCUCUACAAAAGUGCCAUUCAUUUAAUCGUAUUUAUUGAGUACUUACAUGUGCAGAGCACUGUACUAAGCGCUUGGGAGAGUACAAUACAAAAAUGCAUCCACAUUCCCUGCCCACAGCAAACUUGCAGUGUAGAGGGGGAGGCAGACAUUAAUAGACAUAAAUAAAUUGCAGAGAAGUACUUGAGUGCUGUGGGACUGGGAGGGGGGAUGAAUAAAUGGAGCAAGUCAGGGUGAUGCAGAAGAGAGAGGGAGAAGAGGAAUGGAGGACUUAGUCAGGGAAUGCCUCUGGGAGGAGGUGGGCCUUCAAUAAGGCUUCGAAGCGGGGAGAGAGUCAUUGCCUCAGGAAACCCUAGGAAACACUUCCAGUCCACACUUGAUGGGUUCCAGCUUUGUCAGGCAAGGUUUAGUAUGGGGUGAGGUGGGGUAGGGUAGCCGAAUGGAAAAAGCACAGAAUUAGGAGUCAGGAGGCUUGGGUGCUAGUCCUGGCUGUGCUCUGUGACCUUAGGCAAGACAUUUAAUCUUGCUGUGCCUCAGCUUCCUCCCUGAUAAAAUACCUGUUCUCCCUCCUUCGGGCUACAGACGUUAUAUGGGACAGGGACUGUGUCCAAGUGGAUUAUCCUGUAUCUCCCAGGUGCUAUGUAUAGUGUAAAACAAGCAGUGUAGGUAUAAGGUAAUCAGGUAAGACACGGUCUCUGUCCUAUGUGGGGCUCACAGUCUUAUUCCCCAUUUUACAGAUGAGGAAACUGAGGCCCAAAGCAGUAAAGUGACUUGCCCAAGGUCACAAAGCAAACAUAUGGCAGGCGUGGAUUAGAACCCAAGUCCUCUGACUCCCAGGCCCAGGCUCAUUCCACAAGGCCAUGCUGCUUCUCUCACGCUGGCUGCCGACCGCAGACCUGUAGGUGAUCAGGAGAACUCCAGGGGGUGGGGAGGCCCCAACCCGCCGAGCCCCCAAACCCAGUAGGCCUGGGGGGUGAGGGCAGCCCUUCUGCCUGGGGGCCCCCACCCCAGGUGUGAAGC
RNAcentral lists this long non-coding RNA (1637 nucleotides) under Ornithorhynchus anatinus (platypus). RNAcentral describes it as "lncRNA (ENSOANG00000049776.1)". The record is from RNAcentral. Lineage: Eukaryota; Metazoa; Chordata; Mammalia; Monotremata; Ornithorhynchidae.